GACGAACGCUGGCGGCGUGCCUAACACAUGCAAGUCGAGCGAAUGAAGUUCCUUCGGGAAUGGAUUUAGCGGCGGACGGGCGAGUAACACGUGGGCAACCUGCCUCAUAGAGGGGAAUAGCCUUCCGAAAGGGAGAUUAAUACCGCAUAAGAUUGUAGUAUCGCAUGAUACAGCAAUUAAAGGAGCAAUCCGCUAUGAGAUGGGCCCGCGGCGCAUUAGCUAGUUGGUGAGGUAACGGCUCACCAAGGCGACGAUGCGUAGCCGACCUGAGAGGGUGAUCGGCCACAUUGGGACUGAGACACGGCCCAGACUCCUACGGGAGGCAGCAGUGGGGAAUAUUGCACAAUGGGGGAAACCCUGAUGCAGCAACGCCGCGUGAGUGAUGACGGCCUUCGGGUUGUAAAGCUCUGUCUGCAGGGACGAUAAUGACGGUACCUGAGGAGGAAGCCACGGCUAACUACGU
This 463-nucleotide ribosomal RNA is filed under the name uncultured bacterium. RNAcentral's name for it is "partial 16S ribosomal RNA". It matches the Rfam family "Bacterial small subunit ribosomal RNA", at positions 28 to 506 of the family's 1533-position model. The record is from RNAcentral.